AUUUAUUCUACUCCUCUUCUCACUCAAAAAAAAUUUAGGAUCACGCGGAUAUUUUGGGAAUCGAUAUGAUGCCGAUGUGACGGAGUUCUGUCUUGGUGCCUCAUGUCUGACUUGAUUUCUUCCAGGGAGUUGAGCUCCAGAGGAUUCUCGAGCACAUCGUUAUCAUUCAGAUUUCUUAGUAUCUCAGAACGAAGGAUGUUCGUAAUUGCUUCAAUACUAGUAGUGGCAAGAUAAACCUGAUGUCCCCAGUACUGGUGCAGAUUGUUCGAGAGUACUGCCAUACUUUGUAUCGUUGUGAUCACGAGGGUCUGUAGUAGAUGAAGGUCCGAGAUUCUUGUUAUCUGUUGACGGAUGUGAUACA
RNAcentral lists this long non-coding RNA (361 nucleotides) under Hordeum vulgare. Its description in RNAcentral is "long non-coding RNA (HVUL_LNC004178)". The record is from RNAcentral. Lineage: Eukaryota; Viridiplantae; Streptophyta; Magnoliopsida; Poales; Poaceae.